UACACGCUGUGACUAGCAUAUCAAUAAGCGGAGGAAAAGAAACUAACAAGGAUUCCCCUAGUAACGGCGAGUGAAGCGGGAAGAGCUCAAAUUUGAAAUCUUAAAGGGUUUCCCUUUACGAAUUGUAGUUUAAAGAAGUGUUUUCUGUUGAGGUUUUGGUAAAAGUUCUUUGGAAUAGGACAUCAUAGAGGGUGAGAAUCCCGUAUUUGACCUUUACUUUCAACUUUGUGAUACACUUUCAAAGAGUCGGAUUGUUUUGGAAUGCAGUCCAAAAUGGGUGGUAAAUUUCAUCUAAAGCUAAAUAUUGGCGAGAGACCGAUAGCGAACAAGUACCGUGAGGGAAAGAUGAAAAGAACUUUGAAAAGAGAGUUAAACAGUACGUGAAAUUGUCAAAAGGGAAGCGUUUGACACCAGUGUUGUUUUUCUGAAAAUCAAUUAAAGAACUGUUUAUGCUAAGUUGUUUAGACUUUAUCAGCUAACUGUUUAGUUUUGAGCUUUUCUUUAAUGCACUUUUCAGUUAACAAGUCAACAUCAAUUUCUUUUGCUGUAAAAAAGCUUGAGGAAGGUGGCUUGAGAUUCGUCUUAAGUGUUUAUAACCUCUUGCCUAUGCAGUCGGAGAGAUUGAGGUCUGCAGCGUAGAUCCUUCGGGGCUAAAUGCAUUUGCUGCUAAGUUAUAGCAUUUUAUAGACAACUUGUUGACUAUGAUUUGUCUUGUAGCUUACUCGCUUAUGUUAUUUUACCUACGCUUAGGAUGUUGAGUCGUAGAGCACGCAG
This 774-nucleotide ribosomal RNA is filed under the name uncultured Neocallimastigales. Its description in RNAcentral is "partial large subunit ribosomal RNA". It matches the Rfam family "Eukaryotic large subunit ribosomal RNA", at positions 22 to 628 of the family's 3401-position model. Lineage: Eukaryota; Fungi; Neocallimastigomycota; Neocallimastigomycetes; Neocallimastigales. The record is from RNAcentral.